UACAGAGGGGGCAAGCGUUGUUCGGAAUUACUGGGCGUAAAGGGCGCGUAGGCGGCCUGCUAAGUCGAACGUGAAAUCCCUGGGCUCAACCCAGGAACUGCGUCCGAUACUGGUUGGCUUGAAUCCGGGAGAGGGAUGUGGAAUUCCAGGUGUAGCGGUGAAAUGCGUAGAUAUCUGGAGGAACACCGGUGGCGAAGGCGGCUUUCUGGACAAAUACCGACGCUGAGGCACGAAAGCUAGGGGAGCAAACAGG
This 253-nucleotide ribosomal RNA is filed under the name uncultured bacterium. RNAcentral describes it as "partial 16S ribosomal RNA". It matches the Rfam family "Bacterial small subunit ribosomal RNA", at positions 524 to 776 of the family's 1533-position model. The record is from RNAcentral.